This is a long non-coding RNA of Cyprinus carpio (common carp), 743 nucleotides long. RefSeq lists it as uncharacterized. The transcript has 5 exons. NCBI's taxonomy places the organism in Eukaryota, Metazoa, Chordata, Actinopteri, Cypriniformes, Cyprinidae. The record is from RefSeq and is a predicted model, not a curated record.
UUGUUGCAUUGACAUGGUAGGACUGGCAUGUUCCUGAAGUUGUGUUUGAUGGUUAGCCACUAAUAUGGUUCUCGAUGUGCAGCCUUUUAACUUCUGUGCUCAACGUGCAGCCUUAAUCCUUGUGCUUGAUGUGUAGUUUUUAUCCUUUUGUAUAGGCUGAUUUAUUAAGAGGUUUUACACUGUCAGGAAAGUGGGGCAGGCAAACAUUUAUGACUGCAGUACCUUCAAUGGGCUGAUGGCUGUGUUGGAAUGCUGAAUAACCGUAUCUUCUCUGUAUCUAUCAUAUUUGGAUUUUGGUCUUGGAAUUGAGUGCUGAGAUUGGGUAACUGUGCUGAAGCUGUACUUUUGUUCAAUGUGUAGUGGCUUUGUAUAGGGCCGGGGCUGCAUCGGCCCUUAACCUCCCCUGGUGUAGGUGAUUUGGGUGGCGUGGCACUUCUGUGUGGUGGUAGGCGGUGGAUAAGAGCAGGCCCGACCCUCCUUGCCAUUUUGAGGAGAGCUAUUUUCUACAUCUGUGGAUUUUAUUAUUGAUGCAUGGUUUUAUUGAUGUUUUUAAUGUCUUGCUUGGGAAUAAAAUUGUGAUAUUCAACAAACUACGUUUACGGUUUUAAAAAAAUCAAUACUUGAUUUGUGGAGGGCUCCUCCUGCCCUAAAUAAGGAGGUGGCGUAGUCAGUUUAUAGUUUCUUACACUACACUAAAACGAACCAAACCCGUGCAACAACUCUGUGAUUAUUAUUAUUAUUAU